UACGGGGGAUGCGAGCGUUAUCCGGAUUUAUUGGGUUUAAAGGGCGCGUAGGCGGGACGUCAAGUCAGCGGUAAAAGACUGCAGCUAAACUGUAGCACGCCGUUGAAACUGGCGCCCUCGAGACGAGACGAGGGAGGCGGAACAAGUGAAGUAGCGGUGAAAUGCAUAGAUAUCACUUGGAACCCCGAUAGCGAAGGCAGCUUCCCAGGCUCGAUCUGACGCUGAUGCGCGAGAGCGUGGGUAGCGAACAGG
RNAcentral lists this ribosomal RNA (252 nucleotides) under uncultured bacterium. RNAcentral describes it as "partial 16S ribosomal RNA". It matches the Rfam family "Bacterial small subunit ribosomal RNA", at positions 524 to 776 of the family's 1533-position model. The record is from RNAcentral.